AGUGAACGCUGGCGGCGUGCUUAACACAUGCAAGUCGAACGAGAACGGGUUAUAUCUUGCUAUAAUUGUCAUCUAAGUGGCGCACGGGUGAGUAAUGUAUAGGUAAUAUGCCUCUUACUAAGGGAUAACAAAUGGAAACGUUUGCUAAUACCUUAUACUCCUUAUUAACAUAUGUUAAUAAGGGAAAGAUUUAUUGGUAAGAGAUUAGCCUGUAUUGUAUCAGUUAGUUGGUGGGGUAAUGGCUUACCAAGACUAUGACACAUAACUGGUUUGAGAGGAUGAUCAGUCACACUGGAACUGAGACACGGUCCAGACUCAUACGGGAGGCAGCAGUGGGGAAUAUUGCACAAUGGACGAAAGUCUGAUGCAGCAACGCCGCGUGGAGGAUGACACAUUUCGGUGCGUAAACUCCUUUUAUAUGAGAAGAUAAUGACGGUAUUAUAUGAAUAAGCACCGGAUAACUCCGUGCCAGCCGCAGUAACAC
RNAcentral lists this ribosomal RNA (484 nucleotides) under uncultured bacterium. RNAcentral describes it as "partial 16S ribosomal RNA". It matches the Rfam family "Bacterial small subunit ribosomal RNA", at positions 29 to 526 of the family's 1533-position model. The record is from RNAcentral.